CAGCAGCCGCGGUAAUACGGAGGGUGCAAGCGUUAAUCGGAAUUACUGGGCGUAAAGCGUGCGUAGGCGGUUCGUUAAGUCUGUUGUGAAAGCCCCGGGCUCAACCUGGGAAUGGCAAUGGAUACUGGCGAGCUAGAGUGUGUCAGAGGAUGGUGGAAUUCCCGGUGUAGCGGCGAAAUGCGUAGAGAUCGGGAGGAACAUCAGUGGCGAAGGCGGCCAUCUGGGACAACACUGACGCUGAGGCACGAAAGCGUGGGGAGCAAACAGGAUUAGAUACCCCAGUAGUCCCUGUCUCUUAUAC
RNAcentral lists this ribosomal RNA (301 nucleotides) under uncultured bacterium. RNAcentral describes it as "partial 16S ribosomal RNA". It matches the Rfam family "Bacterial small subunit ribosomal RNA", at positions 509 to 807 of the family's 1533-position model. The record is from RNAcentral.